This 72-nucleotide transfer RNA is filed under the name Enterococcus phage EF1. RNAcentral describes it as "tRNA-Arg". It matches the Rfam family "tRNA". From Rfam's summary of the family: Transfer RNA (tRNA) molecules are approximately 80 nucleotides in length. Their secondary structure includes four short double-helical elements and three loops (D, anti-codon, and T loops). Lineage: Duplodnaviria; Heunggongvirae; Uroviricota; Caudoviricetes. The record is from RNAcentral. RNAcentral also lists the same sequence under 1 other name.
GUCGCUAUAGUGUAAUGGAUAGCACAAGAAACUUCUAAUUUCUAAGUUUAGGUUCGAAUCCUAAUAGCGAUG